This 276-nucleotide ribosomal RNA is filed under the name Shigella flexneri. RNAcentral describes it as "partial 23S ribosomal RNA". It matches the Rfam family "Bacterial large subunit ribosomal RNA", at positions 984 to 1259 of the family's 2925-position model. The record is from RNAcentral. Lineage: Bacteria; Pseudomonadati; Pseudomonadota; Gammaproteobacteria; Enterobacterales; Enterobacteriaceae.
CACACGGCGGGUGCUAACGUCCGUCGUGAAGAGGGAAACAACCCAGACCGCCAGCUAAGGUCCCAAAGUCAUGGUUAAGUGGGAAACGAUGUGGGAAGGCCCAGACAGCCAGGAUGUUGGCUUAGAAGCAGCCAUCAUUUAAAGAAAGCGUAAUAGCUCACUGGUCGAGUCGGCCUGCGCGGAAGAUGUAACGGGGCUAAACCAUGCACCGAAGCUGCGGCAGCGACGCUUAUGCGUUGUUGGGUAGGGGAGCGUUCUGUAAGCCUGUGAAGGUGU